UACGUAGGUGGCAAGCGUUGUCCGGAAUUAUUGGGCGUAAAGCGCAUGUAGGCGGUUUGUUAAGUCUGGUGUGAAAGCUCAAGGCCUAACCUUGAAAUUGCAUUGGAAACUGGCAAACUAGAAUACCGGAGAGGUUGGUGGAAUUCUCGGUGUAGAGGUGAAAUUCGUAGAUAUCGAGAGGAACACCUGUGGCGAAGGCGGCCAACUGGACGAGUACUGACACUGAGACACGAAAGCGUGGGGAGCAAACAGG
Molecule: ribosomal RNA, 253 nt
Filed under: uncultured bacterium
Lineage: Bacteria
Description: partial 16S ribosomal RNA
Rfam family: Bacterial small subunit ribosomal RNA
Source: RNAcentral